This 444-nucleotide long non-coding RNA is filed under the name Oryza sativa (Asian cultivated rice). RNAcentral's name for it is "long non-coding RNA (OSAT_LNC001701)". The record is from RNAcentral. Lineage: Eukaryota; Viridiplantae; Streptophyta; Magnoliopsida; Poales; Poaceae.
GUUUGGGUUUGGGCUCGUAGAAUGAAGAUACUGGAAUCCUUUGCAGCCUGUCUUUGCAUCAGCGGGGAUCGACGCCCCUCUGUGGUGUACCUGCUGUGGGUAGCUGCUCCCAUAUCCAACCAGGUAGCUAAGCUUCAUUGGGUUGUCUCCCAAGAUGUAAUUAGCCUGACAUGCAACAGAAUAUAUGUUAGAAACUUACUGCACAACACCUUCCUGGUCAGAUGCUACCAACACAGCAGAGCAGAAAUAGUGUGUAGGUCAUGAGUCAUGACAACCAAAGUUAUCAUAGAAUGUAGUUAAGCCACAAAGGCAAGCAGUGUGUCACAAUGUGCCGAUGGCUCGUGACAAAAAAAGGUAGGCAUGUAAAUACAAGGAAUGUUUUAUGGUGUUUCUUGUUGAACUUCAACAUGGCAAACUGGAAUUUCAGUAUCUUGCAAGGUUUUC